UCAAGCGCGAAAAGGGCGUUUGGUGAAUGCCUUGGCAGUAAGAGGCGAUGAAAGACGUGAUACUCUGCGAUAAGCCAUGGGGAGCUGAGAAUAAGCUUUGAUCCAUGGAUUUCUGAAUGGGGCAACCCACCUGAUUGUUUGUUAUUAUUGCUUCGCAAUAUGUACGCUCCGCGCCGACCCUUGGUCGGUACACCGAUCCUUUGGAUCGGCACUGGGGUGGACAGCGGCGCAGUUAAUAAUGAGCAAAACCAGGUAUUUAUAGACUGAAUACAUAGGUUUAUAAAAGCAAACCCGGGGAACUGAAACAUCUAAGUACCCGGAGGAAAGGAAAUCAAUAUGAUACUCCCCUAGUAGCGGCGAGCGAACGGGGAUCAGCCGAGCCAUGAUUGUGGUUAGAAUGNNUUGGAAUNNNNNACCANAGUGGGUGAUAGUCCCGUAUNNGAAGCAUNANUGANACGUAUUAAGUAGGGCGGGACACGUGNAAUCCUGUCUGAAGAUCGGAGGACCACCUNCGAAGGCUAAGUACUCCUUACUGACCGAUAGCGAACCAGUACCGUGAGGGAAAGGUGAAAAGCACCCCGACGAGGGGAGUGAAACAGUACCUGAAACCGAACGCCUACAAUCAGUUGGAGGGGCAUAAGCCCUGACAGCGUACCUUUUGUAUAAUGGGUCAUCGACUUGGUCUAUCUAGCAAGCUUAAGCCGUUAGGUGUAUGCGCAGCGAAAGCGAGUCUUAAUAGGGCGUUGAGUUAGAUGGAUCAGACCCGAAACCGAGUGAUCUAGGCAUGACCAGGAUGAAGGUAAGGUAACACUUACUGGAGGUCCGAACCCACACCUGUUGAAAAAGGUCGGGAUGAGUUGUGCCUAGGGGUGAAAGGCCAAUCAAACUCGGAGAUAGCUGGUUCUCCGCGAAAUCUAUUUAGGUAGAGCGUCAUCCGAAUACCCCGGGGGGUAGAGCACUGGAUGGGUAAUGGGGCCCCACAGGCUUACUGAUCCUAACCAAACUCCGAAUACCCGGGAGUACUAGAUGGCAGACACACUGCGGGUGCUAACGCCCGUAGUGGAGAGGGAAACAACCCUGACCUCCAGCUAAGGCCCCUAAUUCAUGGCUAAGUGGGAAAGCAGGUGAGACGGCCAAAACAACCAGGAGGUUGGCUUAGAAGCAGCCAUCCUUUAAAGAUAGCGUAACAGCUCACUGGUCUAAAUAAGCUGUCUUGCGGCGAAGAUGUAACGGGGCUCAAGCCAUGAGCCGAAGCUGAGGACAUCGCAAGAUGUGGUAGCGGAGCGUAGUGUGACAUAGAUUCUAUCCUCUUUAGUCGUCUUUGACGGCCUUGGAGGAUUGAGAAUCUUUCUGUGAAGCCGGGCUGUAAGGCAUCCGGUGGAGAGAUCACUAGUGAGAAUGAUGACAUGAGUAGCGACAAAGAGUGUGAGAGACACUCUCGCCGAAAAUCCAAGGGUUCCUGCUUAAAGCUAAUCUGAGCAGGGUAAGCCGGCCCCUAAGUCGAGGCAGAAAUGCGUAGACGAUGGGAACCAGGUUAAUAUUCCUGGGCCAGGAGGAUGUGACGGAUCGUGAAGGUAGUUCACUCUUAUUGGAUUGAGUGGGCUGCUAAUCGGUUCCUGGAAAUAGCCCUCCAUCAGACCGUACCCUAAACCGACACAGGUGGAUAGGUAGAGCAUACCAAGGCGCUUGAGAGAACUAUGUUGAAGGAACUCGGCAAAAUACCUCCGUAAGUUCGCGAGAAGGAGGCCCAGUUUCUACGCAAGUAUUGGCUGGGGGCACAAACCAGGGGGUGGCGACUGUUUACUAAAAACACAGGGCUCUGCGAAGUCGCAAGACGACGUAUAGGGUCUGACGCCUGCCCGGUGCCUGAAGGUUAAAAGGAGNNGUGAGAGCNNCGAAUUGAAGCCCAGGUAAACGGCGGCCGUAACUAUAACGGUCCUAAGGUAGCGAAAUUCCUUGUCGGGUAAGUUCCGACCUGCACGAAUGGCGUAACGACUUCCCCACUGUC
This 2008-nucleotide ribosomal RNA is filed under the name metagenome. RNAcentral describes it as "bacterial LSU rRNA". It matches the Rfam family "Bacterial large subunit ribosomal RNA", at positions 1 to 2020 of the family's 2925-position model. The record is from RNAcentral.